Molecule: long non-coding RNA, 889 nt
Organism: Brassica oleracea var. oleracea
Lineage: Eukaryota; Viridiplantae; Streptophyta; Magnoliopsida; Brassicales; Brassicaceae
Exons: 3
Source: RefSeq, a predicted model, not a curated record
UUGCCAGAAAACGGCCAAGCCUCAAAAGCUUUCAUCGCAACUAUCUGCAAAAGUCUGCGCUUCUUCCUCUAAACCUCUGCUGCCUCCAUGCCACUUCCGCCUGUACGGCCACCAUCGACAUCACAGCAACCUCAAGUAAUGAACAAAACGCCUCCUCCUCCUCUGUUCCAUGAUUUUCUCCGCGUAGACCGUUAGGUAAAGAUAAGUUCCUUUGAGUUAUUUUACAAAACGCCCGACCGGACUAUGGCCUGUGAUAAGCUCAGAACAAGCUUCUUUGAUUUCAGGGGAAGGGUUGUGUUUACAGCACUUGAAGCAUUUGUGAAGAAGAUGCCGACUAAGUAAAGAAGAAGAGUUGAAGUUGUAUAGCUACAAAGUUGUAGUAGAUGAGCUUGACUCUGCUGAGAAAUUUCUCAGGGCCCUUGUGGAGUACCAUUUGCAUUUCAAGAAGCUGAAGCAAUGCUUUAUAGAGAGACGGUUGAAGAUGAAGUGGUUCAUCUUAGAAACUCCUUCUCAAUGCUUGAGGAAGCUUGCACGGAGCUUAAGUCAAGCAGGUUAUUCCUGAAGCUUUUAAAAGUCGUCCUUAGGACUGGGAACAAGAUGAAUGUAGGAACCAUACUUGGUGGCGCAAAAGCCUUCAAGCUCUCCAAUGUUAAGUGCACAUAUGAAAAAACAACUCUAUUCCACUUUGUCGUGAAAGAGAUAUCUAGGUCAAAGGGAAUCAGGGUUUAAGACAGCAUCAUGGCAUGCACCAGAGAUUAAAAAAAAACAGAACAGGGAGAAAGGGGAGGAAUACAAAAAAUAUUAUAACUUACUUCCCUUCGGAAAAUCAAUACUUGAUCGUUUAUGGCGGUUUGUAAAACAAGAAGGUAUAUAAAUUCGUUGGUGAGUA